AAGACAACACGGCCCUGGACACAGCGAGGUCAGAAACCAGACGCAGCAGGGACUGCGCGGGCUGGGAAGGCUGGGCCCUCCAGCUGGGAGAGGGUUGCCUGGAGAGAAGGAAGUCCCCAGGCUGCCAGCGACCUGCUGCUCCUUCCCAAGCCCAGGAUUUCCCAAAGCAGCUUUUCCCUUCCAGACGCUGGGGUGCAGGGCCCAAGACUUCCCAAAACAGCUUUUCCCAUCCAGAGGCUGGGGUGUAGGGCCCAUGACGGUUCUGCUUUAGUGUCGGGGAUGAAAGAGAGGGAAAAAGGGCUGGGAGAGAAACAGAGAAACAGAAAGAAAGAAACAGACAGAAGACACAGAGACACAGAGAGAGGAAAGAGACAGAGACAGAAAGAGAGCAGAGAGAGACAGACACAGAGAGAGAGAGGCCCGGGGAAGAGAGACACACAGAGAGAGAAAAGAAAUAAAAAGCAGGGGUGUGGAGUGGGGCGCUUAGCG
RNAcentral lists this long non-coding RNA (489 nucleotides) under Homo sapiens (human). Its description in RNAcentral is "HSALNT0383863". The record is from RNAcentral. Lineage: Eukaryota; Metazoa; Chordata; Mammalia; Primates; Hominidae.